Molecule: ribosomal RNA, 253 nt
Filed under: uncultured bacterium
Lineage: Bacteria
Description: partial 16S ribosomal RNA
Rfam family: Bacterial small subunit ribosomal RNA
Source: RNAcentral
UACGUAGACCUCAAGCGUUAUCCGAAUUUAUUGGGCGUAAAGCGUGUGUAGGGGGUUUCGUGCGUCUUUGGUUAAAGCCCACCGCUCAACGGUGGAAGUGCCAAGGAUACGACGAGACUUGAGGAGGUUAGAGGUUCGCGGAAUGCACGGUGUAGGGGUGAAAUCCGUUGAUAUCGUGCAGAACACCGAAGGCGAAGGCAGCGAACUGGGACCUUCCUGACCCUGAGACACGAAAGCGUGGGGAGCAAAAAGG